RNAcentral lists this ribosomal RNA (1687 nucleotides) under Salmonella enterica subsp. enterica serovar Weltevreden. RNAcentral's name for it is "partial 23S ribosomal RNA". It matches the Rfam family "Bacterial large subunit ribosomal RNA", at positions 1 to 2151 of the family's 2925-position model. Lineage: Bacteria; Pseudomonadati; Pseudomonadota; Gammaproteobacteria; Enterobacterales; Enterobacteriaceae. The record is from RNAcentral.
UUUCGCUUUGUGUGGUGCACAAAGAAGCGUAACGACAGCACUGAAUGACGGUUAACGGAGCGCAAGCGACGUUCAACAUACAAAGUCAAGCAGUGGAGCGCUUUGGGGUGGGGUGACUGCGUACCUUUUGUAUAAUGGGUCAGCGACUUAUAUUCUGUAGCAAGGUUAACCGAAUAGGGGAGCCGGAGGGAAACCGAGUCUUAACCGGGCGUUAAGUUGCAGGGUAUAGACCCGAAACCCGGUGAUCUAGCCAUGGGCAGGUUGAAGGUUGGGUAACACUAACUGGAGGACCGAACCGACUAAUGUUGAAAAAUUAGCGGAUGACCUGUGGCUGGGGGUGAAAGGCCAAUCAAACCGGGAGAUAGCUGGUUCUCCCCGAAAGCUAUUUAGGUAGCGCCUCGUGAAUUCAUCUCCGGGGGUAGAGCACUGUUUCGGCUAGGGGGCCAUCCCGGCUUACCAACCCGAUGCAAACUGCGAAUACCGGAGAAUGUUAUCACGGGAGACACACGGCGGGUGCUAACGUCCGUCGUGAAGAGGGAAACAACCCAGACCGCCAGCUAAGGUCCCAAAGUCAUGGUUAAGUGGGAAACGAUGUGGGAAGGCCCAGACAGCCAGGAUGUUGGCUUAGAAGCAGCCAUCAUUUAAAGAAAGCGUAAUAGCUCACUGGUCGAGUCGGCCUGCGCGGAAGAUGUAACGGGGCUAAACCAUGCACCGAAGCUGCGGCAGCGACGCUUAUGCGUUGUUGGGUAGGGGAGCGUUCUGUAAGCCUGUGAAGGUGGCCUGUGAGGGUUGCUGGAGGUAUCAGAAGUGCGAAUGCUGACAUAAGUAACGAUAAAGCGGGUGAAAAGCCCGCUCGCCGGAAGACCAAGGGUUCCUGUCCAACGUUAAUCGGGGCAGGGUGAGUCGACCCCUAAGGCGAGGCCGAAAGGCGUAGUCGAUGGGAAACGGGUUAAUAUUCCCGUACUUGGUGUUACUGCGAAGGGGGGACGGAGAAGGCUAUGUUGGCCGGGCGACGGUUGUCCCGGUUUAAGCGUGUAGGUGUGUGUUCCAGGUAAAUCCGGUUCACUUUAACACUGAGGCGUGAUGACGAGGCACUACGGUGCUGAAGCAACAAAUGCCCUGCUUCCAGGAAAAGCCUCUAAGCAUCAGGUAACAUCAAAUCGUACCCCAAACCGACACAGGUGGUCAGGUAGAGAAUACCAAGGCGCUUGAGAGAACUCGGGUGAAGGAACUAGGCAAAAUGGUGCCGUAACUUCGGGAGAAGGCACGCUGACACGUAGGUGAAGUGAUUUACUCAUGGAGCUGAAGUCAGUCGAAGAUACCAGCUGGCUGCAACUGUUUAUUAAAAACACAGCACUGUGCAAACACGAAAGUGGACGUAUACGGUGUGACGCCUGCCCGGUGCCGGAAGGUUAAUUGAUGGGGUCAGCGCAAGCGAAGCUCCUGAUCGAAGCCCCGGUAAACGGCGGCCGUAACUAUAACGGUCCUAAGGUAGCGAAAUUCCUUGUCGGGUAAGUUCCGACCUGCACGAAUGGCGUAAUGAUGGCCAGGCUGUCUCCACCCGAGACUCAGUGAAAUUGAACUCGCUGUGAAGAUGCAGUGUACCCGCGGCAAGACGGAAAGACCCCGUGAACCUUUACUAUAGCUUGACACUGAACAUUGAGCCUUGAUGUGUAGGAUAGGUGGG